This 400-nucleotide ribosomal RNA is filed under the name uncultured bacterium. Its description in RNAcentral is "bacterial SSU rRNA". It matches the Rfam family "Bacterial small subunit ribosomal RNA", at positions 356 to 773 of the family's 1533-position model. The record is from RNAcentral.
GGGGAAUAUUACACAAUGGAGGAAACUCUGAUGUAGCAACGCCGCGUGGAGGAUGACACAUUUCGGUGCGUAAACUCCUUUUAUAUGGGAAGAUAAUGACGGUACCAUAUGAAUAAGCACCGGCUAACUCCGUGCCAGCAGCCGCGGUAAUACGGAGGGUGCAAGCGUUACUCGGAAUCACUGGGCGUAAAGCGCGCGCAGGCGGUCUUUUAAGUUGGAUGUGAAAUCCUAUGGCUCAACCAUAGAACUGCAUCCAAAACUGAAAGACUAGAGUCUGGGAGGGGAAGAUGGAAUUAGUGGUGUAGGGGUAAAAUCCGUAGAGAUCACUAGGAAUACCAAAAGCGAAGGCGAUCUUCUGGAACAGUACUGACGCUGAGGCGCGAAAGCGUGGGGAGCAAAC